AUGAUUUGUUUCAUUUGUAAAAAGGGGCAUGCUAAUGCCAAUGCCCUUAUAAGGCACUUCAAGUUAGUUCAUGGCCUUUGUCCAGGAAAAAGUCUCAAGUUAAAAUGUGCUCAAAGAGGUUGUUCACAUGUUUACCAUAGUUUUUCUGGAUUACGAAAGCAUCUCAGCAAGUGUUGUGCAAUUGACCGUUCACGCAUUGAUUCUGGUGAAAGCUCAUCCACCGCCAACUCCAUUUCAUUAGAUGAUGUAGGUGUUUUAUCAAACCAAAAUCCGCCUUGUGAGUCUGCACUCUUAAAAACAAAUAUAGUAAACAGUUGUGCAACAGUGGUGGCUGAACUUAAAGUUGCUGGUGUCGCAGAGACAACUAUUAACUAUGUUGUUGGUGCUCUAGAAGAAGUGAUUGGAGAUAUUCAUAGUGAAACUCAAGAAUCAGUGAAAAACAGCCUAUCCUUAGAGGAGCCCAUAAAAAGUGUUGUCGAGUCUCAAAUAGAUCAGUUUUUUGAAAAAAUACAAAAUCCUUUUGCGACAUUAAACACUGAAAGCAAGAGAAUGCGGUACUUUUCAGACAAAUGGGGGAAAAUAGAUCCUGUUGAAUAUGUUCUUGGAACAAGAUUUGCAACGCGGCGUAACAGAACAACUGGAACUUUUGCCCAAACCAUUGUUAAGGAUAAAUUUGUAUAUAUACCAAUUCUUGAGACUUUACAGUCCAUUUAUAGACACCCUAGCAUUACAGAUAUGAUGGCGAGAGAUUCACAACAAAGACCAAAUUGUCUUUAUGACAUACACGAUGGAGAAUUCUUUAAGAGGCAUGCACUCUUCUCAAAACAAAGACAUGCAGUUCAGAUCCAGCUUUUUUUUGAUGAAUUUGAAUGCUCAAACCCCCUUGGAUCAAAACGAGGAAUACAUAAGUUAGGAGCUAUCUAUUUUACCCUUAGAAAUAUUUCCCCUAAAUACAAUUCGAGUUUACUAAAUAUACAUUUAGUCACUUUAUUUCAUGCACAAGAUAUCAAAACCUAUGGGUUUGAUAAAAUACUAGAGCCACUUGUCCAGGAUAUCUCAACACUGGAAACCAUUGGAAUUCAGAUUCCUUUAUUUGAUCAGACAGUUUAUGGAACCAUUGUCCAGGUUACUGGUGACAACCUUGGUGUCCAUUCCUUGUUUGGUUUUGUGGAAUCAUUUAGUGCCAGGUACUGUUGUCGCUUUUGCCUACUAGAGAAAGAGGACUUUCAGACAGUGUUCAGUGAAGAUAGUCCAAAGAUGACAUGCUGA
This 1269-nucleotide long non-coding RNA is filed under the name Carassius auratus (goldfish). RNAcentral describes it as "lncRNA (ENSCARG00000050060.1)". The record is from RNAcentral. Lineage: Eukaryota; Metazoa; Chordata; Actinopteri; Cypriniformes; Cyprinidae.